CAGAUCAGGAUGAUUCUGCAGGGCCAUUGUGGUCCAGAGCUCCUGUAGAACUGACUGAGCCCUCUGUUGAGACUGCAUUGACGUUCAACUUCUCCCUUCAGACAACCCAACUUCCUUUAGUCUGUCUCAAGUCCUGAUCUUAAGGAGACCCCCAUUAAACUUCCUGCACAUGGAUUUUCAUGUCUCCAGAGUCUGCUUACUGAAGAAUGCAACCUAAAACAGAAAGAACAGGUAUCAUUUCAGGGAAUUGACUUAAUCUCUUGGAGCCUAUUUUCUCAUGUCUGAAGAGUGACUUUAUUCUGAUUUUAAACAGCCCUACCACAGCAUUGGACACAAUACAGGAGACCGUGGGGCACGGAGGCCCAGGACUGGUUCAAUCAAUGGAAGCUCUAGUCUAAGCCCUCGCAGAUGUGCUGCUUAUUAAUUAUGUUGAUACACUAGGUCUAGAUUUGUGUUGAAGUUUCCUCUUAAAGAAGCCACAUGGAUUCCAAGUUACUCAGUUUCCUGGAGUGAGAUUGCAUGGCAGCCUGGGAUUUGCAAAUCUUCACCUGACAAUGAUGUUUAUGUAACAUUCCUGACCCCUGUGUCUGAGCAGCUUCCAAAGCCCAGAGACUCACUCUUAGUUCAGUCCCAGCACCGGUGCUGCCUGCCCUGCUAACAGCCUCCCUGAGCCUAGCCUUCUCUUUCUAUGAUCUGAUUUAAUUGUUAUGGCACUUUAUUAUUAUAAACCACCAUUUUAGAAAGUGUUGGGCUCAGUGGACAUGAGUUUGAGCAAGCUCUGGGAGUUGGUGAUGGACAGAGACCCCUAGUCCAUGGGGUCACAAGGUCGGACAUGACUGAGCGCCUGAACUGAACUGGACUAAGUGUAAUUUGAUCUCCAAGAUUCUGAACUCUUAGAAAAACCUCCGAUGCUGAAUUUCUCCUAAAACUUGUGUGUGUGCCCAGUCACUCAGUUGCGUCUGGUUCUCUGUGACCCCAUGGACUGAAACCCUCCAGGCUCCUCUGUCCAUGGAAUUCCCCAGGCAAGAAUACUGGAGUGGGUUGCCAUUUCCCUCUCCAUUUCUUUAACUUAACUUGCAUUAAAUAGGAUCUUCAUUUUGAUGGCCUUAAAUUCUCAGUGUCUCCCCCAAAACCUCCAUCCAUCACUGACUUUUUCCAUUUAUAGCAUUUUCAGCUCAGCCUCUAUCUUCAGCUCUCAUACUGUGAGUUGACCCUAAAUACUAGCUCCCCGGUAUCUAGUACUUAAGUAUGUACCAGGCAUCACAUGCUUUUCAGCAGGAGUUUGCAAAGGGUGGUUCUGCAGACCAGGAGCAACAGCAUCACUGCUAAACUUGUUACUAGGAAUACAAAUUCCCCAAACCCACCGAAGAUCUAACAAGUCAACAGCUCUGGGGGUGGGGAUCAGUAACCUAUGUUUUGAAAAAUACUCAGGUGAUUUGAGGGUACUUGCUUUAGUCUGAAAACCACUGCUUUACCCGCAGUAGCUUAUUUUAUUACAAAAGCCCAAUGCUAAAGGGCGUUGUUUAGUUGCUAAGUCAUAUCUGCCUCUUUGCCAUCCCAUUGACUGUAGCCCACCAGGCUCCUCUGUCCAUGGGAUUCGCCAGGCAAGAAUAUUGGAGUGGGUCACCAUUUCCUUCUCCAGGGAGUCUUCUUGACUCAGGGAUUGAACUCAUGUUUCCUGCAUUGGCAGGUGGAUUACUUCCCACCUGGGAAGCCCAAGACGAGGGUUACAUAGCCUUAUUCUACUUUACCAUGAAAAAAAAAAUAAAGGUCAACAGAGAUAACUGUACACAGCCUCACACAGUGCAGGUGGCAUGCGGCAAAUGAAACCCAGGGCUGAAAGCUUUGCAAGUCCCUCCUCUCCAGUUCCACUCCACGAAACCCCCACUUGGCUGACCUCCCAUCAGUUCUACUCUGCUGGUGACUAACUCGGGUAAACCAUGCUGCAUGCUUUCUUUGGGUACUAAGGUCUUUGAAUACUGCUGGGAGAGCAACCAAUAAAAAUGCCAAGUGUAUUUCAUUAUAAUAAAUGUAUAUUUUUACCCCAGAGCCUAUAUGCCUGUGGUGGGAUCACUUCGUGGUUUUUCUUUACAUACCUAUGGACUUACUACAAUAUCCCUGCUCCAACUUGUUCCGACUGCUUUCUCCAAUGUCCUAGCUCGAAGCAUUAUUUCUGGCCGAUCACAAGGUCUCGGUAGAAGGCUCAUCUCUGUUUUCUUGGACACACAGGGGCAAGAUAAUGAGAGCCUUUCUCACUUCUUGCUGUGGCACUUUAAAAUCUUGAUACGUCUUGUUCCCACCUUUGUUCUUGUUUCUGAGGAAGAGGUGACCCUUUUCUCUGCUGAGAUCGAUUUCCUACACUCCUGGCUCACUAGCUGCUUCUCUUUCCAGCUAUUGCUCAAUCAGUUCUUCCUUUCUCUCCCCUGGAACUCCUCUCCCUCGCUUGUGGUCCCUUAACCCCAUCAACAGAGUUUGUUUGGACUUUCUUUUGCUACAAAGGAAUAGCCUUUCUCAAUUCUGUUAUGAGCCCUCUACCCCAAAUUUCUCUUUUUCAUCUUCACCUGAUAGAGUAUCCUUUAAAGAAACUGGACUAACAUCCUUCUUUAAUUCCUUUGCCACUCAGAUACCUUUCUAAUACAAAAAUCCUCUUGAGUGUAAUCAAUGAACUCUUUAAAAUCCCAUCCCUUCCUAAAACAAAAUCAAAAGCUUUCCCAAUGUGUAUUAAUAUUUCCCCUUUAAGCUAUCUAGGCCAUCUGUUACCUAUAUUCAUCUCUGUCACAAAGCGUUGCCCUGACUUGGUGUCUACAACACUUGAAUAGCAGAACCCACAUAGCCAUGUCUUCUCAUAUUUUAAAUUGUGAUUUGGUUGUACUCUUCUUUUUCCUACUGAAUUAUUAAUUUAUUCAUUCAAUAAACAUUUCUAGAGCCUGUUGUUGUUAUUCUCUAAGUCCGGCUCUUUGCCACCCCAUGGAUUGCAGCACACAAGGCUUCCCUGUCCUUCACCACUUCCUGGAGUUUGCUCAAGUUCAUGUCCAUUGAGUCGGUGAUGCUAUCUAACCAUCUCAUCCCCUGCUGCCCUCUUCUCCUUUCACCUUCAAUCUUUCCGAGCAUCAGGGUUUUUCUAAUGAGUCAGCUCUUCACAUCAAGUGGCCAAAGUAUUGGAGCUUCAGCUUUAGCAUCAGUCCUUCCAAUGAAUGUGCAGGCUUGAUGUUCUUUAGGAUUGACUGGUUGGAUCUCCUUGCAGUCCAAGGCUUACUGUGUACCAAACAGUUAGGUGUUGGAGCUGUAACUGAGAGUGAUAUGUAUUCUCCUGCCCUCUCAGACCCU
Bos taurus (domestic cattle) is the source of this 3327-nucleotide long non-coding RNA. NCBI's taxonomy places the organism in Eukaryota, Metazoa, Chordata, Mammalia, Artiodactyla, Bovidae. The record is from Ensembl.